This 164-nucleotide ribosomal RNA is filed under the name Salmonella enterica. RNAcentral's name for it is "partial 23S ribosomal RNA". It matches the Rfam family "Bacterial large subunit ribosomal RNA", at positions 1 to 156 of the family's 2925-position model. Lineage: Bacteria; Pseudomonadati; Pseudomonadota; Gammaproteobacteria; Enterobacterales; Enterobacteriaceae. The record is from RNAcentral.
GGGUUGUGAGGUUAAGCGACUAAGCGUACACGGUGGAUGCCCUGGCAGUCAGAGGCGAUGAAGGACGUGCUAAUCUGCGAUAAGCGCCGGUAAGGUGAUAUGAACCGUUAUAACCGGCGAUUUCCGAAUGGGGAAACCCAGUGUGACUCGUCACACUAUCAUUA